UAGGGAAUAUUGCUUAAUGGGCGAAAGCCUGAAGCAGCAACGCCGCGUGUGAGAAGAAGGCCUUCGGGUUGUAAAACACUUUUUGAGGGGAUGAGGAAGGACAGUACCCUCAGAAUAAGCCUCGGCUAACUACGUGCCAGCAGCCGCGGUAAAACGUAGGAGGCGAGCGUUAUCCGGAUUUACUGGGCGUAAAGCGCGUGCAGGCGGCACGGCAAGUUGGAUGUGAAAGCUCCCGGCUUAACUGGGAGAGGUCGUUCAAAACUGCAGGGCUAGAGUGCGGGAGAGGGAGGAGGAAUUCCGAGUGUAGCGGUGAAAUGCGUAGAUAUCAGGAGGAACACCAGUGGCAAAAGCGGCCUCCUGGUCCGCAACUGACGCUCAGACGCGAAAGCUAGGGUAGCAAACGG
Molecule: ribosomal RNA, 404 nt
Filed under: uncultured bacterium
Lineage: Bacteria
Description: bacterial SSU rRNA
Rfam family: Bacterial small subunit ribosomal RNA
Source: RNAcentral